Molecule: long non-coding RNA, 1356 nt
Organism: Amphiprion ocellaris (clown anemonefish)
Lineage: Eukaryota; Metazoa; Chordata; Actinopteri; Pomacentridae
Exons: 2
Source: RefSeq, a predicted model, not a curated record
CCCGCAUUGUGGAAACGCUUUUAUGCGGCUUCACCCCAACGCAAAGCUACACGGAGGAGAGGCGCGUCAAGUCACACAGAAAAAGCCGCGGACAUACCGGAAAUACUGCAGCUUUCCUUCAAAAUAAGAAGCGACUAACAGGAGGAAGCCGGAAUACCUGGAGAAAACCCACACAUGCACAGGGAGAACAUGCAAACUCCAUGCAUAAAGAUCCCAGGAAGGCCGGGACACGAACCAGGGAUCUUCUAGCUGCAAGACAACAGUGCUAACCACCAAACCGCUGUGCAACCCUACCUGAUUUUGUAUUUGUCACUUUUAAUCAACCAACAUUAUAGUUCCUGACCCAUUGAAGCACUUAUUUUUUUGUUUUUCAACCCUGAAAUUGAAAUCUAGUUCCAGUUUCGAGAAAUGAGGGGAGGCAGAAAUGGAAAAAAGAUCCAUCUUUGGGCAUCAAUUAAGGAUGUUAUGGUUUAUCAUUGACCACUAUUCGGUCCCCGGGAUCUAGUUUUAAUACUUUAAUAAUUCAGUCAAUACAGCUACAUGCCAUUGUACAGCAAAAUUCAUAAUCAAAGGAAUUCAAGGUGCCCACAGUUAAAGGUUACUUCAUCCCUGGUUGAUCCAGCCUUGUGUAAUGCAGUUGAUAUACAGGUAUUAUUUCUUUAAUUUUUAGUAGUUACAGGAGGUUUGUUUCUUUAAAUAUGGCCCAUUUACACAACAACUGCAAGUGUUAGUAUUUUAUACAAGGAUUAUUUGAAAUUUGAUGGAUGGGACGUAAAAUGUCCUCUAAUUCAGGAAUGACCCUUCUAUAUUUUACUCAAAUGUUGUAUGCAUCGUUGUCAAAUAGUUUACUGGAGUUUCAGGCCAGCCAUGCUUUUACUUCGAAAACCUUCCCGGAUGUUUUAAAGUAUAAUCCGUGUCGCUUGGUACUUGGACAGAUGCGUAGGGGAUCUCCUGUCAAAGACAAACAAGAACCUGUCGAGUAGCCAAGUUUUACUUGGUACGACAACCGUUUUAUUUCUUCUUCCGAACCGACUGUCUGUCCAGAGGGACUGUCUGCGCUGCGCUUUCUGUGUGCGCCAUUUACGCACACGCCCCCAUGUUAUGUUAUUGGCGUAGCGUUGCACUUCUGACGCUCCUGUGCGCUCUGGAAUCGAUAGAGAUUAUUUUUGAGCCCAGAUGCUGACAGACGAGGGGAAGGAGAGAGAUAAUAAAGCACUUAUUAUUGUAUUUUUAAAAAAAAACAUAUAGAGAGUCAGAGUUUGUUUCUUAAACUCCAGCUUCUUACAGAAUUAAUUUUGCCACAGAACUGCAGUUAAUGGCACCAUUUCACAUAUAAACCUCUUUGUUUUGAGAUCA